AGAGUUGUGGCUCAGUGAAAGAGCAUAUCUGAUGGGGAGAAAGUUCUAGGUUCAGUUCCUGGCAUCUCUA
Molecule: transfer RNA, 70 nt
Filed under: Ophiophagus hannah (king cobra)
Lineage: Eukaryota; Metazoa; Chordata; Lepidosauria; Squamata; Elapidae
Rfam family: tRNA
About the family: Transfer RNA (tRNA) molecules are approximately 80 nucleotides in length. Their secondary structure includes four short double-helical elements and three loops (D, anti-codon, and T loops). Further hydrogen bonds mediate the characteristic L-shaped molecular structure. tRNAs have two regions of fundamental functional importance: the anti-codon, which is responsible for specific mRNA codon recognition, and the 3' end, to which the tRNAs corresponding amino acid is attached (by aminoacyl-tRNA synthetases). tRNAs cope with the degeneracy of the genetic code in two manners: having more than one tRNA (with a specific anti-codon) for a particular amino acid; and 'wobble' base-pairing, i.e. permitting non-standard base-pairing at the 3rd anti-codon position.
Source: Rfam by way of RNAcentral